Molecule: ribosomal RNA, 734 nt
Filed under: uncultured Cellulosimicrobium sp.
Lineage: Bacteria; Bacillati; Actinomycetota; Actinomycetes; Micrococcales; Promicromonosporaceae
Description: bacterial SSU rRNA
Rfam family: Bacterial small subunit ribosomal RNA
Source: RNAcentral
GACGAACGCUGGCGGCGUGCUUAACACAUGCAAGUCGAACGAUGAUGCCCAGCUUGCUGGGCGGAUUAGUGGCGAACGGGUGAGUAACACGUGAGUAACCUGCCCUUGACUUCGGGAUAACUCCGGGAAACCGGGGCUAAUACCGGAUAUGAGCCGUCCUCGCAUGGGGGUGGUUGGAAAGUUUUUCGGUCAGGGAUGGGCUCGCGGCCUAUCAGCUUGUUGGUGGGGUGAUGGCCUACCAAGGCGACGACGGGUAGCCGGCCUGAGAGGGCGACCGGCCACACUGGGACUGAGACACGGCCCAGACUCCUACGGGAGGCAGCAGUGGGGAAUAUUGCACAAUGGGCGAAAGCCUGAUGCAGCGACGCCGCGUGAGGGAUGAAGGCCUUCGGGUUGUAAACCUCUUUCAGCAGGGAAGAAGCGCAAGUGACGGUACCUGCAGAAGAAGCGCCGGCUAACUACGUGCCAGCAGCCGCGGUAAUACGUAGGGCGCAAGCGUUGUCCGGAAUUAUUGGGCGUAAAGAGCUCGUGGGCGGUUUGUCGCGUCUGGUGUGAAAACUCGAGGCUCAACCUCGAGCUUGCAUCGGGUACGGGCAGACUAGAGUGCGGUAGGGGAGACUGGAAUUCCUGGUGUAGCGGUGGAAUGCGCAGAUAUCAGGAGGAACACCGAUGGCGAAGGCAGGUCUCUGGGCCGCAACUGACGCUGAGGAGCGAAAGCAUGGGGAGCGAACAGG